This 4525-nucleotide long non-coding RNA is filed under the name Brassica napus (rape). Its description in RNAcentral is "long non-coding RNA (BNAP_LNC025516)". The record is from RNAcentral. Lineage: Eukaryota; Viridiplantae; Streptophyta; Magnoliopsida; Brassicales; Brassicaceae.
GAAUCCAUGUGUUGGAACUCGGUGUAGGAAUGUAUCUGUUUUCUAUCGGAUGCUAUGACGCGUUAUUUGGGAAGAAUCAUUAUUAUCUAUACCUUUUCGCGCAAGCAUUCGCCUUCUUCAUCGCUGGAUGUGGGCAGAUUGGGACAGUGGUGCCUAACUAUUGAAUGGAAAAUGGAUUGAUCGAGCUACAAACUGCUCGAGAAUAAGAUGAUGAUUUUAUAUUUUUUUCUUGGCUACUCUUUAAUUUCUUCCUGGUGUGAAUAGAGAGAAUUGAUGAUACGAUUGUUACAGAAGAUGGUGUGUGUAGUUGUGGAAGAUAUGGAUACCUAUAGUAAAGAAGAAUAUAUAUAUUUUCAAGGGGGGUUUUCAUAUUCCUCAAAGACAAUACAUCAUUUCUUGCAAGACAAAAGCUUUUGAUUCCAAUUUCUUUGUAUCAAAUUAUUGUAUUGUACAAAUAUGGAGGUACAUGAUAAAGGAAGUCAUAGUUUCCGAUGCUCCGCCGCCUUUCAAUAAUGCCUGAGAUCUGGUUUCCGCCAUAGUUUCCGAUCGCUUCGCCACCGUUUCCGAGGAAAGAAUGUCUCUGAUACCACUGAUAAAAGAAGUCACUCCUUUAUGAUCGAUCUAAUGUUCUUGAAACACCAAAUCGUAGCUCUCGAGUAAUAGAUCUAUAAGAGAGAAAGAUCUAAAUCCUCAAAUAACAAUCCAUGAAUCGAUAUUAGAAUUCCAGAGGUUUUUAAGAAAGUUUUACAAAUGAUUUCUGAAUGAACUGAAUAGAGUACGCAGACUCUGUUUUAUCUACUCCAAAAGAUGAACUCCUCCGAUCAGCUGGCGCGAAGCCGUUGUAACAAACUCUUAACUUCUCCCUUCCUCCACUAGUUACUCAACACGUGUCUCUUACUUCUCCUGUAUCAGUACACGAUAAUCACAUUCUAUGAAAUAGCUUGCAACAUGCAGGAUUUGAAAGAAUUGUCAUCUUUUGCAUCUUUUAUUCAAACAAACGUUGCCUUUGUGGUCGCUACUUCUAUAAUGUUUGAAGGUUUUCUUUCGAAUGAGAAAGAAUGAUAAAUUGUUUUCUUUAUUGCAUAUAGUGGGCCAUAUAGUGGUAACUGAACGUUUAUAUUGUUUGGUUUCUUCAGUUCAGUUGAAACAUAGUUUCUAGAUGACCAAAUUUUUAUGGGUUUGGACUAAAAAAAAAUUACUAAACCACCAUACACAGAAUAAAACUGGAUCUACAAAAAAAUUGCAAAUUUGCAAUCAUAUCAAAAAUGAUAUUAGUGUAAGUCUUUUUAAUCUAGAUUGGACAUGUAACAAGGUUCAGAAAAGGAAAAAAACAAUUUGCAGGCUGAACAGUGACUAAUUACAUAUACUUUGUGUGUUAAUAAUGUUUUUUUAAUACUAUUAAAUUAUGACUUUUGAAUGUAAGACUAAUUGGAGAGGGUAGAGAUGGGUCAUAUUAAAUUAAUACAUAUAUCUAAGAUUAAAACCUAUGAACGUAUUAUAAGAUAUCAUAAACUAAUAGCACAUGAGUUGAUCACUGUUUUAAGAGAAUCUUAUUUUACAGUAAUUUAAAAGCAUGGGUUUAUUUAUUUAAUAAGAAAAUUAUGUUUACAUAAAGAAAGUUUUUAUUACAUUAACAGAAGUGUCGGUGGGUGUUUUAUACUUUUAUUGAUAGGUCCCAAUAUAACCUAACCUAGCGGAUCUUGAUGUCGACGUAUCGAUUUUGUUCGUGAUCUUCGUGCUCUAGCUUUAAAAUUUUAAAUGUGGAGCCACUUUCUUUUGCAAAUAGUUUUUAUUAGUACUAACAAAUUAUUUUUGAAUGAUCUAGAGGCAUAUUCCAUAUAAUAUAGGCAAUAUCCCUUCUAACAAAUCCCAUAUUAAAUAGAAGAAAACAUUUCGGGAAAUAUAAGAAAACAUCAAGGAAUAUAAAGUUUAAUAUUUUGUUGUCCUUUGUGUUAGGUAUGCCUGCAGUAGGAGUUGGUAAAUAUUUGGUUUGUGUGUCUGGCUUUUUGUUGAUUUUUGAUGAAAAAUAUGCAUUGUCCACACAUUUUCAACAGAGUGAUGUUUUUCCACAUUAGUCAAUAGAUUGUCCACCAGUGAAUCUAUAACUUCUGGCAUUCAAAAGCUGCAGCGUAUUUAGCUUUGAACGAUCUAGCCUUCAUAAAAUAAACACCCGAAUUUUGAAGUAAUUUCUUCGAAUAAAAAAUAAGUUUUGCAUGCAAACAUUCAUCGACAUAUUAAUAUUUAGAAAACCAAAAUAUAAAUAAUCAGAUUAGAACAGAGCUUAGUGUUUAGUGGCGUUGCUUCACUGGCAUCGUGGUCGUGUCCCAUAAUUAGUGCAGAGAACAUAUAGGGAAGGGGCUUGUUUUGUCAUUUAGUAAAUAUAGUAUUAGGUAGAUCAGUCAUUUUUGUUAGUAGAUACGCCACGUGUACUUGCCAGCGCCCUCUAUCUUCCAUGUGCAAUAUCUGGGUCCCACACUGGUCUCUUCUCUACUAGUCUCUGUCACUCUCAUCACUCACUUUUCUUUUUCAAGUAAAAUUUGUUUGUUUUUUUUUACUUCCAGUACUAAUACAACCAGCUAUUGAAACUCGCUUUUAUUUUAUUAACGAUGUCUUUUAGUCUCACGAGCUAUUUUAUUUUAGACAAAAAAAAUAGUAAUAAUAAAAAGAAAUCAUGUGAACUUGUGAAGUAGAUCGACAAAAUCUAACGAGUUGUUGAAAUCUAAUUGGGGGAGAUCAGAAGAGUCUGAGCUGUCUAUAGUUUUUUUUUUUAGCUGUCUAUAGUUUGAUAAUUGAAAAUAUUUAUUUCAAUGUCACCAACUGGUUUUUAAUGUCUUCAUCAAUACCACAUUAAUUGAUUGUUUGCUACGCAAAUAUUAAUUGAAAUCCAUUAUUCAAUUUUUGUUCCUUCUAAUUUUGCAGUAAAUUCGGAUGAAUGUUUAAUGACAAGAAUGCAAGAAAUGUCGUUGGAUUAUCAUUUUACGGUCGAACAAGAAGUUGGUUCUUCUACAUACGCAUUCUUCGGUUUCAACGGUACUUACUUUGUUUCUUUUCAUUAUAUAUUGUUGUCUUAUUCAAGUUUCAUAACAUUUGCUUACUAUCAUUUUAGGGACUGCGGGAAUAUGGAGAAUAUCGGCAUUAAACGAAGCUGGUGGUUGGAAAGAUAGAACGACCGUAGAAGAUAUGGAUUUGGCCGUUCGAGCUAGUCUCAAGGGUUGGAAAUUUUUGUACCUUGGUUCUUUGAAGGUAUACUUUGCCUCUUCAUGAUUCAACAAUGUGUAUGUAUUAGUGGUUGAUAUGCAAAUAGUUUUAUUGAUACAUGUGGUUGUUAAAUAUUAUAGGUUAAAAACGAGUUACCAAGUACAUUCAAGGCGUAUAGGUAUCAACAGCACAGGUGGUCAUGUGGUCCAGCAAAUCUUUUCAGGAAAAUGGCAUUUGAAAUCAUGACCAACAAGGUUUUUACUUUAAACUCUUUUCUUCUCCCUCCACACUAAAAUAGAAAAAUGAACUGGUUAAUUCAGUAAGUUAACCAAUACUUACAUUCAACAUAUCAAACCCAAAAACGUUUCUCUAGUUUUGUAGUCUUGGUUGGUCUCCACAUUUAUUUAAGUUCCCGUUUAAAUAGAUUUUUUUUUCUUUUUGGCAGAACGUGACAUUAUGGAAGAAAGUUCAUGUGAUAUAUAGCUUCUUCGUGGUGAGAAAGAUCGUGGCACACAUUGUUACAUUCAUCUUCUAUUGUGUGGUCUUACCGGCUACGGUUCUUGUACCUGAAGUUAUUGUACCUAAAUGGGGAGCGGUUUACAUUCCGUCCAUCAUUACUCUCCUCAACGCCGUCGGUACACCUAGGUAAAUAAAUAUCCCAAAGAGUUUCUUACGGCUCAAGUGACGUCUCGUUUAGCCUCUCAUUGUUUGUUACACGUAUCUUAUAGGUCACUCCAUCUCAUGGUAUUUUGGAUUCUGUUCGAGAAUGUGAUGUCUCUUCACAGAACAAAAGCUACUUUCAUCGGUUUACUCGAAGGAGGAAGAGUUAACGAGUGGAUUGUCACUGAGAAGCUCGGUGAUCUCAAGGCUAAGUCAGCAACCAAGGCUCCAAAGAAGCUUCGUUUUAGAUUUGGAGAUAGGUAAGCUUCUCCACGUUUCCUAUAGGUCAGUGAAUCUUAUUUGCAGUUUUGUUUCAUUCUAAUACCUUUUCUUUGGCAGAAUCCAUGUCUUGGAACUUGGUGUAGGAAUGUAUCUGUUUUCUAUCGGAUGCUAUGACGCGUUAUUUGGGAAGAAUCAUUAUUAUCUAUACCUUUUCGCGCAAGCAAUCGCCUUCUUCAUCGCUGGAUGUGGGCAGAUUGGGACAGUGGUGCCUAACUAUUGAAUGGAAAAUGGAUUUAUCGAGCGACAAACGUACUGCUCGAGAAUAAGAUGAUGAUUUUAUAUUUUUUCUUGGCUACUCUUUAAUUUCUUCCUGGUGUGAAUAGAGAGAAUUGAUGAUACGAUUGUUACAGAAGAUGGUGUGUGUAGUUGUGGAAGAUAUGGAUAC